AAAUUUCUCAAUCUCACAUCUCAUAGCCGACAUGCUUACUUGUGCUUAUAACAGUGAACCCAAUAAUUAGUGAAGUAAACCGAUUCGGCAAUACCCAGGAAAGAUCACAAUGAUCUCCUAGACAAUAUUACCAUUCCACGUAAAAUCUCAGUUGGACGGAGGGGUCACAAGUGGUCCCACUUAAAAUCCGGCCUUCUAGACAGAAGUUACGUGCACGGUAUAUUAUCAGAACUUUCGUAUCAGAAUAACUUCAAUAAUUAUCGUCAGGACAUUCACCACCGAUACUCAAGCACACCAAAGCAAAGCUCCACCCGCUUCAAGACUUCCAAAACUCCACCUGCUUUUAAAAUAAAAUAAUUUCUAACAACAGUAUUUCUGAUGUGGAAGAUCAGACUAAGCCGCAACCACAGAGCAUACUUAUAAUUACAAGAAAUUAUUUUAACACUAAAAGCUC
RNAcentral lists this long non-coding RNA (454 nucleotides) under Jatropha curcas. Its description in RNAcentral is "long non-coding RNA (JCUR_LNC002026)". The record is from RNAcentral. Lineage: Eukaryota; Viridiplantae; Streptophyta; Magnoliopsida; Malpighiales; Euphorbiaceae.